Molecule: long non-coding RNA, 702 nt
Filed under: Marmota monax (woodchuck)
Lineage: Eukaryota; Metazoa; Chordata; Mammalia; Rodentia; Sciuridae
Source: RNAcentral
CUCACAGAACCCUAACCUAUCUUUUUAGGGGACUGUUUUAGUCAGCUUUUUUGCUACUGUGACUAAAGAACCUGGCCACCACAAUUGUAGAGGAGAAAGGGUUUAUUCGGGGGCUCACAGUUUCAGAGGUCUUAGUCCGUAGAAGGUAGGCUCCAUUCCUUGGGGCUCGAGGUGAAGCCAAACAACAUGGCAGAAGACUGUGGCAGAGAGAAGCAACUCACAUGGUGAUGAGAAACCAGAGGGACAGAGACUCCACUCUCCAGAUGCAAAUAUAUACUCAAAAGCCACACCCUACCACUUCAGUUACCACUCAGUUAAUCCCUGUCAGGGGAUUGAUUCACUGAUUGGGUUAAGACUCUUACAACCCAAUCAUUUCUCCUUCUCGCAUGGCCUCACAUGUGGGUUUUUGGGGGGACACCUCACAUCCAAACCAUAACAAGGAGUCAGUAAUUAUGCAAAGGUUGGGCUUGUGUUCAAGUAGCUUAAAUAAUUAAGAUCAUGUACAAAAGAAAAAAUGAGAAAUGGUGCAGAACCAAGAGCCAAAACAAUCUACACAGAUCCCCUUUACCAGGAGGAAAUUCUAUCAGCAGAGGAGCAGUUCUCAGAUGCUUAUCAACCCUGACUGAGCGUCAAUAGUUCUUUCACUGUACCUUCUUUUUGGGUGGUGAUGAGCUCAGAGAGGCAGCCAUGGACUUGGAGUGG